AUACGGAGGGGGUUAGCGUUGUUCGGAAUUACUGGGCGUAAAGCGCACGUAGGCGGACUGGAAAGUUGGGGGUGAAAUCCCGGGGCUCAACCUCGGAACUGCCUCCAAAACUUCCAAUCUAGAGAUCGAGAGAGGUGAGUGGAAUUCCAAGUGUAGAGGUGAAAUUCGUAGAUAUUUGGAGGAACACCAGUGGCGAAGGCGGCUCACUGGCUCGAUACUGACGCUGAGGUGCGAAAGCGUGGGGAGCAAACAGGAUUAGAAACCCCAGUAGUCC
This 274-nucleotide ribosomal RNA is filed under the name uncultured bacterium. RNAcentral describes it as "partial 16S ribosomal RNA". It matches the Rfam family "Bacterial small subunit ribosomal RNA", at positions 523 to 796 of the family's 1533-position model. The record is from RNAcentral.